UGCAAGUCGAACGCGAAAGCGGGGCAACCCGCAAGUAGAGUGGCGAACGGGUGAGUAAUACAUCGGAACAUUUCCAGUAGCGGGGGAUAACCUGUCGAAAGAUAGGCUAAUACCGCAUACGACCUAAGGGUGAAAGCGGAGGACCGCAAGGCUUCGCACUAUUGGAGUGGCCGAUGUCGGAUUAGCUAGUUGGCGGGGUAAAAGCCCACCAAGGCGACGAUCCGUAGCUGGUCUGAGAGGACGAUCAGCCACACUGGAACUGAGACACGGUCCAGACUCCUACGGGAGGCAGCAGUGGGGAAUUUUGGACAAUGGGCGCAAGCCUGAUCCAGCCAUGCCGCGUGAGUGAAGAAGGCCUUCGGGUUGUAAAGCUCUUUCGGUGGGGACGAAACGGUUUGUGCUAAUACCACGGACUAAUGACGGUACCCGAAGAAGAAGCACCGGCUAACUACGUGCCAGCAGCCGCGGUAAUACGUAGGGUGCAGGCGUUAAUCGGAAUUACUGGGCGUAAAGCGUGCGCAGGCGGUUUGUUAAGACAGAUGUGAAAUCCCCGGGCUUAACCUGGGAACUGCGUUUGUAACUGGCAAGCUAGAGUGUGGCAGAGGGGGGUGGAAUUCCAAGUGUAGCAGUGAAAUGCGUAGAUAUUUGGAGGAACACCAAUGGCGAAGGCAGCCCCCUGGGUUAACACUGACGCUCAUGCACGAAAGCGUGGGGAGCAAACAGGAUUAGAUACCCUGGUAGUCCACGCCCUAAACUAUGUCAACUGGUUGUCGGGGAAGCAAUUCCUUGGUAACGAAGCUAACGCGUGAAGUUGACCGCCUGGGGAGUACGGCCGCAAGGUUAAAACUCAAAGGAAUUGACGGGGACCCGCACAAGCGGUGGAUUAUGUGGAUUAAUUCGAUGCAACGCGAAAACCUUACCUACCCUUGACAUG
Molecule: ribosomal RNA, 934 nt
Filed under: uncultured beta proteobacterium
Lineage: Bacteria; Pseudomonadati; Pseudomonadota; Betaproteobacteria
Description: bacterial SSU rRNA
Rfam family: Bacterial small subunit ribosomal RNA
Source: RNAcentral